UACGGAGGGUGCGAGCGUUGUCCGGAAUCAUUGGGCGUAAAGGGCGCGUAGGCGGGCGGUCAAGUCGGAGGUGAAAGCCUGCAGCUCAACUGCAGAAGUGCCCCCGAUACUGAUCACCUCGAGGGAGGUAGGGGCGUGCGGAACUUCCGGUGGAGCGGUGAAAUGCGUAGAUAUCGGAAGGAACACCGGUGGCGAAAGCGGCGCGCUGGACCUCUUCUGACGCUGAGGCGCGAAAGCCAGGGGAGCAAACGGG
Molecule: ribosomal RNA, 253 nt
Filed under: uncultured bacterium
Lineage: Bacteria
Description: partial 16S ribosomal RNA
Rfam family: Bacterial small subunit ribosomal RNA
Source: RNAcentral